This 460-nucleotide ribosomal RNA is filed under the name uncultured bacterium. RNAcentral's name for it is "partial 16S ribosomal RNA". It matches the Rfam family "Bacterial small subunit ribosomal RNA", at positions 338 to 795 of the family's 1533-position model. The record is from RNAcentral.
CCUACGGGUGGCUGCAGUGAGGAAUAUUGGUCAAUGGGCGAGAGCCUGAACCAGCCAAGUCGCGUGAAGGAUGACGGCCCUACGAGUUGUAAACUUCUUUUGUCAGGGAGCAAAUGACUCUACGUGUGGUCUUCUCGAGAGUUCCUGCAGAAAAAGCAUCGGCUAACCCGUGUCCGGCACCCGGGUUAAUACGGAGGAUGCGAGCGUUACCCGGAUUUCUGGGUUUUAAAGGGUGCUAAGGAGGAAUAUCAAGUAGGCGGUAAAACUUGGGGUCUCAACCCGGCUGUGCCGUUGAAACUGAUGGUCUUGAGUGGGGUAGAAGUAGGCGGAAUGUGUGGUGUAGCGGUGAAAUGCAUAGAUAUCACACAGAACUCCGAUUGCGAAGGCAGCAUACCGAAGUACAACUGACGCUGAGGCACGAAAGCGUGGGGAUCGAACAGGAUUAGAUACCCGUGUAGUC